ACGCUGGCGGCAGGCCUAACACAUGCAAGUCGAGCGGUAGAGAGAAGCUUGCUUCUCUUGAGAGCGGCGGACGGGUGAGUAAUGCCUAGGAAUCUGCCUGGUAGUGGGGGAUAACGUUCGGAAACGGACGCUAAUACCGCAUACGUCCUACGGGAGAAAGCAGGGGACCUUCGGGCCUUGCGCUAUCAGAUGAGCCUAGGUCGGAUUAGCUAGUUGGUGAGGUAAUGGCUCACCAAGGCGACGAUCCGUAACUGGUCUGAGAGGAUGAUCAGUCACACUGGAACUGAGACACGGUCCAGACUCCUACGGGAGGCAGCAGUGGGGAAUAUUGGACAAUGGGCGAAAGCCUGAUCCAGCCAUGCCGCGUGUGUGAAGAAGGUCUUCGGAUUGUAGAGCACUUUAAGUUGGGAGGAAGGGCAUUAACCUAAUACGUUAGUGUUUUGACGUUACCGACAGAAUAAGCACCGGCUAACUCUGUGCCAGCAGCCGCGGUAAUACAGAGGGUGCAAGCGUUAAUCGGAAUUACUGGGCGUAAAGCGCGCGUAGGUGGUUUGUUAAGUUGGAUGUGAAAUCCCCGGGCUCAACCUGGGAACUGCAUUCAAAACUGACUGACUAGAGUAUGGUAGAGGGUGGUGGAAUUUCCUGUGUAGCGGUGAAAUGCGUAGAUAUAGGAAGGAACACCAGUGGCGAAGGCGACCACCUGGACUAAUACUGACACUGAGGUGCGAAAGCGUGGGGAGCAAAC
RNAcentral lists this ribosomal RNA (745 nucleotides) under uncultured bacterium. RNAcentral's name for it is "bacterial SSU rRNA". It matches the Rfam family "Bacterial small subunit ribosomal RNA", at positions 33 to 773 of the family's 1533-position model. The record is from RNAcentral.